GGAAUAUUGGACAAUGGGCGAAAGCCUGAUCCAGCAAUGCCGCGUGAGUGAUGAAGGCCUUAGGGUUGUAAAGCUCUUUUACUGGGGAUGAUAAUGACAGCACCCAGAGAAUAAGCUCCGGCUAACUCCGUGCCAGCAGCCGCGGUACUACGGAGGGAGCUAGCGUUGUUCGGAAUUACUGGGCGUAAAGCGCACGUAGGCGGCUUUUUAAGUCAGGGGUGAAAUCCCGGGGCUCAACCCCGGAACUGCCCUUGAAACUGGGAAGCUAGAAUCUUGGAGAGGCGAGUGGAAUUCCGAGUGUAGAGGUGAAAUUCGUAGAUAUUCGGAAGAACACCAGUGGCGAAGGCGACUCUCUGGUCUACACCUGACGCUGAGGUGCGAAAGCGUGGGUAGC
This 394-nucleotide ribosomal RNA is filed under the name uncultured bacterium. RNAcentral's name for it is "bacterial SSU rRNA". It matches the Rfam family "Bacterial small subunit ribosomal RNA", at positions 358 to 769 of the family's 1533-position model. The record is from RNAcentral.